CAGUCGCCACGGUAAUACGUAGGGUGCGAGCGUUAAUCGGAUUUACUGGGCGUAAAGCGUGCGUAGGCGGCUUCUUAAGUCGGAUGUGAAAUCCCUGAGCUUAACUUAGGAAUUGCAUUCGAUACUGGGAAGCUAGAGUAUGGGAGAGGAUGGUAGAAUUCCAGGUGUAGCGGUGAAAUGCGUAGAGAUCUGGAGGAAUACCGAUGGCGAAGGCAGCCAUCUGGCCUAAUACUGACGCUGAGGUACGAAAGCAUGGGGAGCAAACAGGAUUAGAUACCCCCGUAGUCCCUGUCUCUUAUAC
RNAcentral lists this ribosomal RNA (301 nucleotides) under uncultured bacterium. Its description in RNAcentral is "partial 16S ribosomal RNA". It matches the Rfam family "Bacterial small subunit ribosomal RNA", at positions 509 to 807 of the family's 1533-position model. The record is from RNAcentral.